Long non-coding RNA from Eucalyptus grandis, 477 nucleotides. RefSeq lists it as uncharacterized. NCBI's taxonomy places the organism in Eukaryota, Viridiplantae, Streptophyta, Magnoliopsida, Myrtales, Myrtaceae. The transcript has 5 exons. The record is from RefSeq and is a predicted model, not a curated record.
GGGUUUACUGCCAUGGGAGGUUACCUUACUGAAGCAGGCGAGGUCAUGUUAGACAGAGUAGAACAUUUUAUCCACUCUGUUGCUGUCUACGAAUAUCAAAAUUUUCAGAAGCAGGCUCGCAUACAGCAGGCAUUGGAGAAUAAUGAAGAAAUGAGAUCUAGAUCAAGAAGAGUCAUCAGAAGAAUUACAAAGUCCAGUUGUUGACAAGGUUAGAUUAAGGGAGCCUGGAUACAAGGAAAGGUAUUAUGCAGAGAAAUUUCAUGUGUCAACUCCUGAGGAGAUAGAGAGAGUUAAGAAGGAAACGAUGCUUCAGUUUCGGCCGCAGUUCCUUCUCAUAGAUUGUGUGGCCUCAUCAGUACAUUUGCCCUUGGAUAACUGUUAUUUCUUUUGUUUGUGAAGUUCUCAAUUGCUAGUAUUUUCCUAUCUGUCUAAUUAUUACAACUGCAGUUUUGUAUCGAGGUUAAUGGUUGAUGGCAU